RNAcentral lists this transfer RNA (72 nucleotides) under Stegodyphus dumicola. RNAcentral describes it as "tRNA-Met". It matches the Rfam family "tRNA". Rfam says of the family: Transfer RNA (tRNA) molecules are approximately 80 nucleotides in length. Their secondary structure includes four short double-helical elements and three loops (D, anti-codon, and T loops). Further hydrogen bonds mediate the characteristic L-shaped molecular structure. tRNAs have two regions of fundamental functional importance: the anti-codon, which is responsible for specific mRNA codon recognition, and the 3' end, to which the tRNAs corresponding amino acid is attached (by aminoacyl-tRNA synthetases). tRNAs cope with the degeneracy of the genetic code in two manners: having more than one tRNA (with a specific anti-codon) for a particular amino acid; and 'wobble' base-pairing, i.e. permitting non-standard base-pairing at the 3rd anti-codon position. Lineage: Eukaryota; Metazoa; Arthropoda; Arachnida; Araneae; Eresidae. The record is from RNAcentral.
GCCUUCGUGGUGUAAUGGUAGCACACUCGGCGCAUAUUCGAGAGGUCCAAGGUUCGAGUCCCGGCGAGGGCA